UACGGGGGGAGCAAGCGUUGUUCGGAUUUACUGGGCGUAAAGGGCGCGUAGGCGGCGCAACAAGUCACUUGUGAAAUCUCCGGGCUUAACUCGGAAAGGUCAACUGAUACUGUGCGACUAGAGUGCAGAAGGGGCAACUGGAAUUCUCGGUGUAGCGGUGAAAUGCGUAGAUAUCGAGAGGAACACCUGCGGCGAAGGCGGGUUGCUGGGCUGACACUGACGCUGAGGCGCGAAAGCCAGGGGAGCGAACGGG
This 253-nucleotide ribosomal RNA is filed under the name uncultured bacterium. RNAcentral describes it as "partial 16S ribosomal RNA". It matches the Rfam family "Bacterial small subunit ribosomal RNA", at positions 524 to 776 of the family's 1533-position model. The record is from RNAcentral.